RNAcentral lists this ribosomal RNA (492 nucleotides) under uncultured bacterium. Its description in RNAcentral is "partial 16S ribosomal RNA". It matches the Rfam family "Bacterial small subunit ribosomal RNA", at positions 29 to 507 of the family's 1533-position model. The record is from RNAcentral.
AGUGAACGCUGGCGGUAGGCCUAACACAUGCAAGUCGAACGGCAGCACAGUAAGAGCUUGCUCUUACGGGUGGCGAGUGGCGGACGGGUGAGGAAUACAUCGAAAUCUACUUUUUCGUGGGGGAUAACGUAGGGAAACUUACGCUAAUACCGCAUACGACCUACGGGUGAAAGCAGGGGAUCUUCGGACCUUGCGCGAUUGAAUGAGCCGAUGUCGGAUUAGCUAGUUGGCGGGGUAAAGGCCCACCAAGGCGACGAUCCGUAGCUGGUCUGAGAGGAUGAUCAGCCACACUGGAACUGAGACACGGUCCAGACUCCUACGGGAGGCAGCAGUGGGGAAUAUUGGACAAUGGGCGCAAGCCUGAUCCAGCCAUACCGCGUGGGUGAAGAAGGCCUUCGGGUUGUAAAGCCCUUCUGUUGGGAAAGAAAAGCAGCAGGUUAAUACCCCGCUGUUCUGACGGUACCCAAAGAAUAAGCACCGGCUAACUUCGUG